GAGUUUGAUCCUGGCUCAGGAUGAACGCUAGCUACAGGCUUAACACAUGCAAGUCGAGGGGAAACGAUUAGAGGUGCUUGCACACUAAGGCGUCGACCGGCGCACGGGUGAGUAACGCGUAUCCAACCUGCCCCAUGGUAAGGAAUAAUCCGUAGAAAUGCGGUCUAAUACCUUAUGUGCUCCGAAGAGGACAUCUGAUUUGGAGUAAAGAUUUAUCGCCAUGGGAUGGGGAUGCGUCUGAUUAGAUUGUUGGCGGGGCAACGGCCCACCAAGUCACCGAUCAGUAGGGGUUCUGAGAGGAAAGUCCCCCACAUUGGAACUGAGACACGGUCCAAACUCCUACGGGAGGCAGCAGUGAGGAAUAUUGGUCAAUGGAUGAGAAUCUGAACCAGCCAAGUAGCGUGCAGGACGACGGCCCUAUGGGCUGUAAACUGCUUUUGUACGGGGAUAAAGGAGCUUACGUGUAAGUUUUUGCAGGUACCGUACGAAUAAGGACCGGCUAAUUCCGUGCCAGCAGCCGCGGUAAUACGGAAGGUCCGGGCGUUAUCCGGAUUUAUUGGGUUUAAAGGGAGCGCAGGCUGUCGGUUAAGCGUGUUGUGAAAUGUAGGCGCCCAACGCCUGCACUGCAGCGCGAACUGGCUGACUUGAGUACGCACGACGUUGGCGGAAUUUGCCGUGUAGCGUGAAAUGCUUAGAUAUGGCGAAGAACUCCGAUUGCGAGGCAG
RNAcentral lists this ribosomal RNA (725 nucleotides) under unidentified rumen bacterium 12-64. Its description in RNAcentral is "bacterial SSU rRNA". It matches the Rfam family "Bacterial small subunit ribosomal RNA", at positions 9 to 724 of the family's 1533-position model. Lineage: Bacteria; Pseudomonadati; Bacteroidota; Bacteroidia; Bacteroidales; Bacteroidaceae. The record is from RNAcentral.